This 789-nucleotide long non-coding RNA is filed under the name Anas platyrhynchos platyrhynchos (common mallard). Its description in RNAcentral is "lncRNA (ENSAPLG00000018336.1)". Lineage: Eukaryota; Metazoa; Chordata; Aves; Anseriformes; Anatidae. The record is from RNAcentral.
GUAACUAGCAGCACAGUACAAAGCCUGGUGCCUACAGGUCUGAGUCCUGUCUGUAUUGACGGUGGCCAGGGCUCUGUCAGUUCUUAAUUCUCGUUUACUUUUAUCUUCUGAUGGCUUCAUCAGUAAUAAGUGAAAUCAACAGCCAGUUCUCUACAGAGACAGGACAAUACAGCAAAGGCAUGCACCACAUAUAUGGGAUCAGCAGACUGGGGUCAGAUCCAUGGGCUGUUCCAGAAAAUCUGGAUGCAAAAAGAAGAGUGGUAGGUAAAGCAAGUAUUCAUUUUAAAAGUUUAUUUAGAAGUAUUCUCAGAAACUUGCUUGAGUCUGUUCAUUUGCCAUUUUACAAAAAGAUGCCAGAGGGAAAAUUAGUGGAAGACAAUGUUCUAUGCAGAAAAGUACCCUCGUUUAGCUGUCAUAAGCUAUGCUGAACACCUAAGAUUAAAGAAAGCAUCAAAUCCACCAGCAGCUCUUCUUUUAUUUCUUUCUCCUUCUGCUAUAAAUUAAGUGGUGGGGUUUGCAUUGAGUGAAGGGGGUUUGGGCCUUGUGAGAUCACUAGGAGCUUCUGGCACAGCUGCAGCUGAGCAGAGCCCAGAAGGGGAAAAAAAAUUACUUUUCUCUUCAUCAUAUAUGUUUUUCUUCAUACUGUGCCAUUGUAUCACCUCCCUAGCAUUGUGCUCUUCUUAUAAUUUUUCUUCUAUUUCUCAGCAAACUCUCAUCAAAUAUCUCAAACCACCACAAUCAAGAAAAUUGAAAUAAUAAACAAAAGUUAAGGCACGGCGGUUCUCUGCA